Octopus sinensis (East Asian common octopus) is the source of this 421-nucleotide long non-coding RNA. RefSeq lists it as uncharacterized. Lineage: Eukaryota; Metazoa; Mollusca; Cephalopoda; Octopoda; Octopodidae. The record is from RefSeq and is a predicted model, not a curated record. The transcript has 4 exons.
GCUUAUAAAGCAACAGAGUUAAGCGAAGACUUAUCUUACGAUAUUCAUUUUUGGAUUGGGAUUGAAAGCACAGCAGAUGAAUAUGGCACUGCUGCAUAUAAAACAGUAGAACUAGAUACUUUUCUAGGCGGAAAAGCUGUUCAGCAUCGAGAAAUUGAAGGACACGAGACUGAGCUUAUGAAAAGUUAUUUCGAUGAAUUCGUAGUUUUAUCAGGAGGAGUCGAUUCAGGUUUCCGUCAUGUGGUCCCUCAACAUUAUAUGCCACGAUUAAUUCAUAUUUUUGGUAUAAAGAAGAAUAUUCAGGCAAUUCAAGUUCCUGCCAGUAAAAAAUGUCUUAAUUCCGACGACGCAUUUAUUCUUGAUAUUGGGGACGAGAUAUAUAUUUGGUAUGGUUUAAAUUGUAGUCCUCAAGAAAAAGCAC